CAGCAGCCGCGGUAAUACGUAGGGUGCGAGCGUUAAUCGGAAUUACUGGGCGUAAAGCGUGCGCAGGCGGCUGUGUAAGACAGGUGUGAAAUCCCCGGGCUUAACCUGGGAACUGCGCUUGUGACUGCACAGCUAGAGUAUGGCAGAGGGGGGUGGAAUUCCACGUGUAGCAGUGAAAUGCGUAGAGAUGUGGAGGAGCACCGAUGGCGAAGGCAGCCCCCUGGGCCAAUACUGACGCUCAUGCACGAAAGCGUGGGGAGCAAACAGGAUUAGAGACCCCUGUAGUCCCUGUCUCUUAUAC
This 301-nucleotide ribosomal RNA is filed under the name uncultured bacterium. RNAcentral describes it as "partial 16S ribosomal RNA". It matches the Rfam family "Bacterial small subunit ribosomal RNA", at positions 509 to 807 of the family's 1533-position model. The record is from RNAcentral.